UAACCCAUUACAAUAUACCAUCUGGGCAGGUAACCCAUUACAAUGUGACCAUCUGGGUAGGUAACCCAUUACAAUAUACCAUCUGGGCAGGUAACCCAUUACAAUGUGACCAUCUGGGUAGGUAACCCAUUACAAUAUACCAACUGGGCAGGUAACCCAUUACAAUGUGACCAUCUGGGUAGGUAACCCAUUACAAUAUACCAUCUGGGCAGGUAACCCAUUACAAUAUACCAUCUGGGCAGGUAACCCAUUACAAUGUGACCAUCUGGGCCGGUAACCCAUUACAAUAUACCAUCUGGGCAGGUAACCCAUUACAAUGUGACCAUCUGGGCCGGUAACCCAUUACAAUAUACCAUCAUAAAAAAAAAAAAAUCCUCGUAUUUUUCAAUCAUUGGGUAGGUCGCCUGGAACAAUUAGACCACUCGCGAAAUUCUUCGCGUUUCUUUUAUCAUUGGGCAGGUUGCCCAAAACAAUUUGAUCCAUUUCAAAAAAAAAAAAA
This is a long non-coding RNA of Populus trichocarpa (black cottonwood), 499 nucleotides long. RefSeq lists it as uncharacterized. The record is from RefSeq and is a predicted model, not a curated record. The transcript is spliced from 4 exons. Lineage: Eukaryota; Viridiplantae; Streptophyta; Magnoliopsida; Malpighiales; Salicaceae.